This 497-nucleotide ribosomal RNA is filed under the name uncultured bacterium. RNAcentral describes it as "partial 16S ribosomal RNA". It matches the Rfam family "Bacterial small subunit ribosomal RNA", at positions 28 to 507 of the family's 1533-position model. The record is from RNAcentral.
GAUGAACGCUGGCGGCGUGCCUAAUACAUGCAAGUCGAGCGAACAGAUGAGGAGCUUGCUCCUCUGACGUUAGCGGCGGACGGGUGAGUAACACGUGGAUAACCUACCUAUAAGACUGGGAUAACUUCGGGAAACCGGAGCUAAUACCGGAUAAUAUAUUGAACCGCAUGGUUCAAUAGUGAAAGACGGUUUUGCUGUCACUUAUAGAUGGAUCCGCGCCGCAUUAGCUAGUUGGUAAGGUAACGGCUUACCAAGGCAACGAUGCGUAGCCGACCUGAGAGGGUGAUCGGUCACACUGGAACUGAGACACGGUCCAGACUCCUACGGGAGGCAGCAGUAGGGAAUCUUCCGCAAUGGGCGAAAGCUUGACGGAGCAACGCCGCGUGAGUGAUGAAGGUCUUCGGAUCGUAAAACUCUGUUAUUAGGGAAGAACAAAUGUGUAAGUAACUAUGCACGUCUUGACGGUACCUAAUCAGAAAGCCACGGCUAACUACGUG